Molecule: ribosomal RNA, 1078 nt
Filed under: Stigonema informe CBFS A-033
Lineage: Bacteria; Bacillati; Cyanobacteriota; Cyanophyceae; Nostocales; Stigonemataceae
Description: bacterial SSU rRNA
Rfam family: Bacterial small subunit ribosomal RNA
Source: RNAcentral
CGAAAGCCUGACGGAGCAAUACCGCGUGAGGGAGGAAGGCUCUUGGGUUGUAAACCUCUUUUCUCAGGGAAGAACAAAAUGACGGUAUCUGAGGAAUCAGCAUCGGCUAACUCCGUGCCAGCAGCCGCGGUAAUACGGAGGAUGCAAGCGUUAACCGGAAUGAUUGGGCGUAAAGCGUCCGCAGGUGGCAUUGAAAGUCUGCUGUCAAAGAGUCUGGCUCAACCAGAUAAAGGCAGUGGAAACUACAAAGCUAGAGUACGUUCGGGGCAGAGGGAAUUCCUGGUGUAGCGGUGAAAUGCGUAGAGAUCAGGAAGAACACCGGUGGCGAAAGCGCUCUGCUAGGCCGUAACUGACACUGAGGGACGAAAGCUAGGGGAGCGAAUGGGAUUAGAUACCCCAGUAGUCCUAGCCGUAAACGAUGGAUACUAGGUGUUGCUUGUAUCGACCCGAGCAGUACCGUAGCUAACGCGUUAAGUAUCCCGCCUGGGGAGUACGCAGGCAACUGUGAAACUCAAAGGAAUAGACGGGGGCCCGCACAAGCGGUGGAGUAUGUGGUUUAAUUCGAUGCAACGCGAAGAACCUUACCAGGGCUUGACAUGUCGCGAAUCCUUGUGAAAGCAGGGAGUGCCUUCGGGAGCGCGAACACAGGUGGUGCACGGCUGUCGUCAGCUCGUGUCGUGAGAUGUUGGGUUAAGUCCCGCAACGAGCGCAACCCUCGUUUUUAGUUGCCAUCAUCAAGUUGGGCACUCUAGAGAGACUGCCGGUGACAAACCGGAGGAAGGUGGGGAUGACGUCAAGUCAGCAUGCCCCUUACGUCCUGGGCUACACACGUACUACAAUGCUACGAACAGAGGGCAGCUAACCAGCGAUGGCAAGCUAAUCCCGGAAAUCGUAGCUCAGUUCAGAUCGCAGGCUGCAACUCGCCUGCGUGAAGUUGGAAUCGCUAGUAAUUGCAGGUCAGCAUACUGCAGUGAAUUCGUUCCCGGGCCUUGUACACACCGCCCGUCACACCAUGGAAGCUGGUAGUGCCCGAAGUCAUUACCCCAACCUUUCGGGGAGGGGGAUGCCUGAGGCAGGA